UGAGACAAAUGGAUAGCUGGCAUGAAG
Molecule: non-coding RNA, 27 nt
Filed under: Mus musculus (house mouse)
Lineage: Eukaryota; Metazoa; Chordata; Mammalia; Rodentia; Muridae
Source: RNAcentral